This 253-nucleotide ribosomal RNA is filed under the name uncultured bacterium. Its description in RNAcentral is "partial 16S ribosomal RNA". It matches the Rfam family "Bacterial small subunit ribosomal RNA", at positions 524 to 776 of the family's 1533-position model. The record is from RNAcentral.
UACGGGGGGGGCAAGCGUUGUUCGGAAUUACUGGGCGUAAAGGGUUCGUAGGUGGCCAACUAAGUCAGACGUGAAAUCCCUCAGCUCAACUGGGGAACUGCGUCUGAUACUGGUUGGCUUGAGUGCAGGAGAGGAACGCGGAAUUCCAGGUGUAGCGGUGAAAUGCGUAGAUAUCUGGAGGAACACCGGUGGCGAAGGCGGCUCUCUGGGACGGUACUGACGCUGAGACGCGAAAGCGUGGGGAGCGAACAGG